Molecule: long non-coding RNA, 1609 nt
Organism: Oncorhynchus keta (chum salmon)
Lineage: Eukaryota; Metazoa; Chordata; Actinopteri; Salmoniformes; Salmonidae
Exons: 3
Source: RefSeq, a predicted model, not a curated record
CUGUGUGUGUUUCUCCUCCCCCACCACUGGCCCAGGCUCACAGAGACAGACAGGGGGGCUGCAGUGAUGUAACUCAUGGCCUGUGUUAGUCUAGACAGACAGAGGUCACAGCUGGACAGAUACAACCCCUCUGGAUCUGGGAUGGGCUGCAGUGAUGUAACUCAUGGCCUGUGUUAGUCUAGACAGACAGAGGUCACAGCUGGACAGAUACAACCCCUCUGGAUCUGGGAUGGGCUGCAGUGAUGUAACUCAUGGCCUGUGUUAGUCUAGACAGACAGAGGUCACAGCUGGACAGAUACAACCCCUCUGGAUCUGGGAUGGGCUGCAGUGAUGUAACUCAUGGCCUGUGUUAGUCUAGACAGACAGAGGUCACAGCUGGACAGAUACAACCCCUCUGGAUCUGGGAUGGGCUGCAGUGAUGUAACUCAUGGCCUGUGUUAGUCUAGACAGACAGAGGUCACAGCUGGACAGAUACAACCCCUCUGGAUCUGGGAUGGGCUGCAGUGAUGUAACUCAUGGCCUGUGUUAGUCUAGACAGACAGAGGUCACAGCUGGACAGAUACAACCCCUCUGGAUCUGGGAUGGGCUGCAGUGAUGUAACUCUUGGCCUGUGUUAGUCUAGACAGACAGAGGUCACAGCUGGACAGAUACAACCCCUCUGGAUCUGGGAUGGGCUGCGUUGUCACAACUGCUCCUCUUCCAUCAAAUACAUCUCACUUCUGCACUCUUUACUUUCUUUCUUUCGGGCUCGCUCAUCCUUGAGCAUGCUGGUUUACUUACUGGAGCACAUUUACUUCUCUCUCAACAUUCCUCUCCUCUCUUUCUCUCCCUCUCUCCUCUCCAUUUCUCUCUUUCUUUCACCCUUGAGCACAGUUAUUCUCACUCAAUUGUCACACUCUCUCCAUCUCAAAUGUACAUUUGGUUACUAUGACUUAAUGGUGAAUUGGGCAGUUUAGGCCUGCAUCAUUAAACCAGUUUGACAAUUUCAGAAACAUCUCUCCCUGACCGCACAAUAGGUUUGAAUAUGAAUUCUUCAGUUCCUAUAGCCAUUCAAACACCACCAAGCCAAUGUGAGUAUAUUUCAAACUCUGUGCGCUGCCUCAAUCAAGGUCCCUGGUCCCAAAUAGUGCUGCAGCAGCGUUUAGUUUGGAUAGGACAGUGUGAAGCCGAACCAAGCCAGGGUGAAGUAAUAGUACACACACACACACACACACACACACACACACACACACACACACACACACACACACACACACACACACACACACACACACACACACACACACACACACACACACACACACACACACACACACACACACACACACUCAUUGGGAACGCUGCUCUCCUCUCCUACUGGGCUGGAAAGUCUCGUUGUCUUUCAUUCUUAUUUAUCUGGAUGUGGGCUGGAGAGGAAGUAUUGGCAAGUCCGUCUGUAACUUCUAUUACUGGAAGGUUUGCUGGGCAGCUUUGUUUGUGCUUGUGUGUUUGUUAAAUGAGACUUGAGAGAGUUAGCCUGUAACUAUUGUCCCCCAGGAUUGAUUUAGAAUGGGAUAUCUUUAGAAUGCUGACACUGGCUCCACCGUGUGUGUGUGUGUGUGUGUGUGUG